This is a long non-coding RNA of Corvus hawaiiensis (hawaiian crow), 1510 nucleotides long. RefSeq lists it as uncharacterized. The transcript is spliced from 3 exons. The record is from RefSeq and is a predicted model, not a curated record. NCBI's taxonomy places the organism in Eukaryota, Metazoa, Chordata, Aves, Passeriformes, Corvidae.
AGCUUCUAUGUAAAGCACCAUCCCUUUUUUUUGCCAGUGCCAUUAGAAAAUGGCCAGUUUUUCAUCUAAAGAAACCAGGUCGUUGAGGUUUUACAACUGGAGAAAAAUAGGUGUCGUCGUCGGGGAAGCCUUACAGUGGAAUUUGCAGACUUUCUCUCCCCUCAGCAGCUGGAAUUACACAGCCACUAAGGACAGACCUCAGGAGGAAAAGCCGCUUCGCCAGCUUGGGAAACACAUAUGCCACUAGAAACCUCCACAUCAGAGCAGAAGCAGUAUCUCUGAACUCUCUGGCCAGCUGCCAGGAAGUCUAUGCAGGAUGUUUCUGCUCUUAAUAAGAAUGAGCCUCCCAGCAAGCAGGAGGAAAUAUUGUCACCAAGCCUGCCAUCUGCCAGCUGUCACAGAGCAGCAUGCAGCUACUGUCAGAGCUACCACAGAUCUAAGAAGACAAAGAGAGUGUUGCUGUCUGCUGUAAGGGCCUGAGGUGGAAGAGCUGCUGCACAAACGCAAAAGGAGAUGGAAGAACGGAAACUUAAAAGCUCCCAGGGAAAAGAGCACUUGAUCAGCACCAGUGGCCACUCUGGUUUAUGAGCACAGCUCUACAUGGAAAGUGUCUGACCAGCAGCUUCCCAUUUCCUUCAAGAAAACAGUGAGGGACUCUGGUGUAUGGUCCCUGCAUCACCUACUUAGACUACAGUGAACAGGUUUAUGUCUCUGUUAUACUCAGCAAAAGCAUCAGAUCUGCCCCUUUUAGACCUCGCUGCAAUGAAGGAAUCUCAAAACUAACGUGACAGAAAAGUAAUUUAUUUUAGCUGAAUGGCUAUGAGGUUUCUUUUAAUGAUCCAUCUUUUCCAAUUUGCAGCGGUGUCAGACUCCACAUGGAUUUCAAACAGAAAAGUCCCAAAUAUCUGAAAUCUGCUUAGAAAGUGAGCUAUAUACUUGGCCCAGAUGAUUCCCCCUUUCCCCUACACCACAGCACACUCCCAGCCUUGCCAAUAUGUUCCCCUUUCGCAAGAUGCAGGGUGGGAGCAAACACUAUUCAAUUCCCUGGCUGGUUCAGCCUUGUUCUCUUUUUACACUAUGGCACAUAUUUGUACAGCAUGCAACAACCAAAUGAGAACAUCUUUUCCAACUGGUAUUUCUUAAUGGCAUUUGGAGAAAGAUUUGUAAGUAAUGUUACACGAAAUGCAAAUAAAAGCCUCCUUAACACACUUCCACGACUCUAUUUUCCCCUUGUAUUUUCUUUUUUGUACCUCUUUCAGUCUGUAUUUUCUUUGAUUGAAAGCACUGAAAAACUGUUAAGCAAAGAGUGCUCCUGUCUCCUCACUCUCUCCAAUAUGUUUUAUUUCUGUUCUUUUAAGUGCUUUGGAUCAGGUCCUUGCCUCUGGCACAAUUCCUCCACCCCUGACUUAUGUCUAGAAUAGUGUCUUCUGGCAAGUUUCUUGCUCCUCACAGGCUGGCUACUGUGUGCAGGGCUCCUGCUUUUCAUGGGUCAAGGCCUUAGGCAUCUUGA